GGGGCUGAUUCUGGAUUCGACGGGAUUUGCGAAACCCAAGGUGCAUGCCGAGGGGCGGUUGGCCUCGUAAAAAGCCGCAAAAAAAUAGUCGCAAACGACGAAACCUACGCUUUAGCAGCUUAAUAACCUGCAUAGAGCCCUCUCUCCCUAGCCUCCGCUCUUAGGACGGGGAUCAAGAGAGGUCAAACCCAAAAGAGAUCGCGCGGAUGCCCUGCCUGGGGUUGAAGCGUUAAAACGAAUCAGGCUAGUCUGGUAGUGGCGUGUCCGUCCGCAGGUGCCAGGCGAAUGUAAAGACUGACUAAGCAUGUAGUACCGAGGAUGUAGGAAUUUCGGACGCGGGUUCAACUCCCGCCAGCUCCACCA
This 363-nucleotide transfer-messenger RNA is filed under the name Salmonella enterica. RNAcentral's name for it is "Standard tmRNA". It matches the Rfam family "transfer-messenger RNA". From Rfam's summary of the family: Bacterial tmRNA, also known as 10Sa RNA or SsrA, is named for its dual tRNA and mRNA-like properties. RNAcentral also lists the same sequence under 2 other names. Lineage: Bacteria; Pseudomonadati; Pseudomonadota; Gammaproteobacteria; Enterobacterales; Enterobacteriaceae. The record is from RNAcentral.